RNA transcript from Prunus persica (peach), 1453 nucleotides. It is a transcript of the gene named 5'-adenylylsulfate reductase 3, chloroplastic, with no coding region annotated. The record is from RefSeq and is a predicted model, not a curated record. The transcript is spliced from 5 exons. NCBI's taxonomy places the organism in Eukaryota, Viridiplantae, Streptophyta, Magnoliopsida, Rosales, Rosaceae.
ACAACCUGCUAAUCUUCAAUUCCACACACAAACAGGAGAUUUGAAUAAAUCACAGAGCAAAACAGAGAAGAAAUUUCAUCUCAAUUAUUCGUUAAUGGCUCUCGCUGUUGCUUCUUCUUCUACUUCGAUCUCUGGCCGGACCUUCUCUCCAUCCACUCCCUCCUCUGACCUCAAAGCUCCACCAGUUGGUUAUUUUCGGGUGUUUGAUCGAGCCCACGGCCAAAUUCCAAAGCCAAGCUGUAACAUUUUCUCAAAGACGGAGCUCGGUGAAGCCCGUAAAUGCGCAGUCUAAACGGAACGAGUCAAUUGUGCCUCUUGCAGCAACCAUCGUUGCUCCUGAGGCAGUUGAGAAAGUAGAGGCAGAGGAUAUUACGCAAUUGGCUAAAGGGCUUGAGAAUGCUUCCCCUCUUGAAAUUAUGGACAAGGCCCUUGAGAAAUUCGGCAACGACAUUGCCAUUGCUUUCAGUGGAGCUGAGGAUGUUGCUUUGAUGAGUAUGCACAUUUAACGUCUGAAAUUCCGGUUGUCCAGGUCGACCCUGUUUUUGAGGGACUGGAUGGUGGGAUUGGGAGCCUGGUGAAGUGGAACCCAGUAGCAAAUGUUGAAGGUCGUGACAUAUGGGACUUCCUUCGUGCCAUGAAUGUGCCUGUGAAUUCACUGCACUCGAAGGGGUACAUCUCAAUUGGUUGUGAGCCAUGCACAAGGUCAGUCCUACCAGGGCAACAUGAAAGAGAAGGAAGGUGGUGGUGGGAGGAUGCCAAGGCUAAGGAAUGUGGUCUUCACAAAGGCAACAUUAAACAGGAAGAGGGAAACCAAUCUAAUGGUAAUGGGGCUGCACAUUCAAAUGGCACUGCCACUGAAACUGAUAUCUUUACUUCCCAAAAUUUAGUUACCUUAAGCCGGACUGGAAUAGAAAAUUUGGCAAGGCUAGAGAACCGGCACGAACCAUGGAUUGUAGUGCUCUAUGCACCAUGGUGCCAAUUCUGCCAGGCAAUGGAAGGAUCAUACAUUGAGCUGGCUGACAAAUUGGCAGGAAGUGGUGUGAAAGUAGGAAAGUUCAGAGCAGAUGGUGAGCAGAAGGAGUUUGCCCAGAACGAACUGCAGCUUGGAAGCUUCCCCACGAUACUUUUCUUCCCCAAACACUCUUCUCGGCCAAUCAAGUACCCAUCAGAGAAGAGGGAUAUUGAUUCAUUGAUGGCUUUCAUCAAUGCCCUCCGGUAACCGGACUUUUGAAAUGUUCAAAAAGAAGUCAAGGUAUUAGAGAAUCGAAGUCCCCAAGCUCCCAUUCAUCUCCAUACCUAAAGGGUGAAGUCAACAUUCGUUGGCAAACCAGCUGGAUAAAUUGCACUGAUUUUGCCAAGAGUCUGUGUUUUUGGAAAUGUAUUGAUGUUUCUCUAUGAAUAUAUCUGAAUCAUUUACUAAAUAAAUGAAAUCGUGCCUCAGGUAGAGUAAAUA